RNAcentral lists this ribosomal RNA (2793 nucleotides) under human gut metagenome. RNAcentral describes it as "bacterial LSU rRNA". It matches the Rfam family "Bacterial large subunit ribosomal RNA". The record is from RNAcentral.
AGGGCGCACGGUGGAUGCCUUGGCACUAGGAGCCGAUGAAGGACGGGACUAACACCGAUAUGCUUUGGGGAGCUGUAAGUAAGCUAUGAUCCAGAGAUUUCCGAAUGGGGGAACCCAAUAUCUUUUAUAGGAUAUUACUUUUCAGUGAAUACAUAGCUGAUUAGAGGUAGACGCAGAGAACUGAAACAUCUUAGUACCUGCAGGAAGAGAAAGAAAAUUCGAUUCCCUGAGUAGCGGCGAGCGAAACGGGAAGAGCCCAAACCAACAAGCUUGCUUGUUGGGGUUGUAGGACUCCAAUAUGGUAGUCUGUUAGUAUAGUUGAAGGAUUUGGAAAAUUCCGCUAAAGAGGGUGAAAGCCCCGUAGACGAAAUGCUGACAACACCUAGGAGGAUCCUGAGUACGGCGGAACACGAGAAAUUCCGUCGGAAUCCGCGGGGACCAUCCCGCAAGGCUAAAUACUCCCUAGUGACCGAUAGUGAACCAGUACCGUGAGGGAAAGGUGAAAAGCACCCCGGAAGGGGAGUGAAAUAGAUCCUGAAACCGUGUGCCUACAACAAGUCAAAGCUCGUUAAUGAGUGAUGGCGUGCCUUUUGUAGAAUGAACCGGCGAGUUACGAUUGCAUGCGAGGUUAAGUCGAAGAGACGGAGCCGCAGCGAAAGCGAGUCUGAAUAGGGCGAAUGAGUAUGUAGUCGUAGACCCGAAACCAUGUGAUCUACCCAUGUCCAGGUUGAAGGUGCGGUAAAACGCACUGGAGGACCGAACCAGGGCACGUUGAAAAGUGCUUGGAUGACUUGUGGGUAGCGGAGAAAUUCCAAACGAACUUGGAGAUAGCUGGUUCUCUCCGAAAUAGCUUUAGGGCUAGCCUCGGAAUUGAGAAUGAUGGAGGUAGAGCACUGUUUGGACUAGGGGCCCAUCUCGGGUUACCGAAUUCAGAUAAACUCCGAAUGCCAUUCAUUUAUAUCCGGGAGUCAGACUGCGAGUGAUAAGAUCCGUAGUCGAAAGGGAAACAGCCCAGACCACCAGCUAAGGUCCCAAAAUAAUUGUUAAGUGGAAAAGGAUGUGGGGUUGCACAGACAACUAGGAUGUUAGCUUAGAAGCAGCUAUUCAUUCAAAGAGUGCGUAAUAGCUCACUAGUCGAGUGACCCUGCGCCGAAAAUGUACCGGGGCUAAAACAAUUUACCGAAGCUGUGGAUACCUUUAUAGGUAUGGUAGGAGAGCGUUCUAUGUGUGGAGAAGGUGUACCGUGAGGAGCGCUGGAACGCAUAGAAGUGAGAAUGCCGGUAUGAGUAGCGAAAGACAGGUGAGAAUCCUGUCCACCGUAUGACUAAGGUUUCCUGGGGAAGGCUCGUCCGCCCAGGGUUAGUCGGGACCUAAGCCGAGGCCGAUAGGCGUAGGCGAUGGACAACAGGUUGAUAUUCCUGUACCAGUUGUUUUUGUUUGAGCAAUGGAGGGACGCAGUAGGCUAAGGAAUGCAUGCGAUUGGAAGUGCAUGUCCAAGCAAUGAGUCUUGAGUAGAGUUAAAUGCUUUACUCUUUAAGGACAAGUUGUGACGGGGAGCGAAAUAAUAGUAGCGAAGUUCCUGAUGUCACACUGCCAAGAAAAGCUUCUAGUGAGAAAACAACUGCCCGUACCGUAAACCGACACAGGUAGUCGAGGAGAGUAUCCUAAGGUGAGCGAGCGAACUCUCGUUAAGGAACUCGGCAAAAUGACCCCGUAACUUCGGGAGAAGGGGUGCUGACUUCGGUCAGCCGCAGUGAAUAGGCCCAAGCGACUGUUUAUCAAAAACACAGGUCUCUGCAAAAUCGUAAGAUGAAGUAUAGGGGCUGACGCCUGCCCGGUGCUGGAAGGUUAAGAGGAUGGGUUAGCUUCGGCGAAGCUCAGAAUUGAAGCCCCAGUAAACGGCGGCCGUAACUAUAACGGUCCUAAGGUAGCGAAAUUCCUUGUCGGGUAAGUUCCGACCCGCACGAAAGGCGUAAUGAUUUGGGCACUGUCUCAACGAGAGACUCGGUGAAAUUUUAGUACCUGUGAAGAUGCAGGUUACCCGCGACAGGACGGAAAGACCCCAUGGAGCUUUACUGUAGUUUGAUAUUGAGUGUUUGUACCACAUGUACAGGAUAGGUAGGAGCCGAUGAGACCGGAACGCUAGUUUCGGAGGAGGCGCUGGUGGGAUACUACCCUUGUGUUAUGAACCCUCUAACCCGCACCACUAAUCGUGGUGGGAGACAGUGUCAGAUGGGCAGUUUGACUGGGGCGGUCGCCUCCUAAAAGGUAACGGAGGCGCCCAAAGGUUCCCUCAGAAUGGUUGGAAAUCAUUCGAAGAGUGUAAAGGCAGAAGGGAGCUUGACUGCGAGACCUACAAGUCGAGCAGGGACGAAAGUCGGGCUUAGUGAUCCGGUGGUUCCGCAUGGAAGGGCCAUCGCUCAACGGAUAAAAGCUACCCUGGGGAUAACAGGCUUAUCUCCCCCAAGAGUCCACAUCGACGGGGAGGUUUGGCACCUCGAUGUCGGCUCGUCGCAUCCUGGGGCUGUAGUCGGUCCCAAGGGUUGGGCUGUUCGCCCAUUAAAGCGGCACGCGAGCUGGGUUCAGAACGUCGUGAGACAGUUCGGUCCCUAUCCGUCGCGGGCGUAGGAAAUUUGAGAGGAUCUGCUCCUAGUACGAGAGGACCAGAGUGGACUUACCGCUGGUGUACCAGUUGUUUCGCCAGAGGCAUCGCUGGGUAGCUAUGUAGGGAAGGGAUAAACGCUGAAAGCAUCUAAGUGUGAAGCCCACCUCAAGAUGAGAUUUCCCAUUUCU